CACUGGAGCAGGAGAGCGGCCUCAGUCCCCACCCCAACCCCAGAAGAGGGCGGGGCGAGAACCGGAGUCAAAUCUUGGGCCGGGUCCAAGGGCCUGAGCGCCUGGUUUAGGCCGGAAAUGGUCUAGUUCUCAGAGGUGGUCCGAUCCCUAACCAGUCCCAGGCCCAGCCCCAGCCCAGCACCACCUGGAAGGUUCAAGUACAUGGAGGAGAGGAGUAAGGCGGACUUGGGCGUAUGGAGAAAGGGGUGAAGGGAGAAAGAGGACUUGCGCUCAGGAGGGAGCGUGGCCUACUGGUGGGAAAGCAGGCGUGGCCGCCUGUGCGGGAGGUUGCGGAUCCACAGUGGGCGAGACCAGGCCCCAGCCCCAUCAGGGCGCGGGGUGCGCAGCCAGGUGGUGCUCCAGCAGCGCCCAGUGAGAGGAGACCUUGCGGUAGACGGGGGAAGGGCGCGCGCUCUGGCCGCUGAGUGCGCAUGUGCAUAUUGAGCGAACUCUUCUGCGGGAAGGGCUUGGCGUAGACCGCGCACUGGAAGGCGUGCGCGCAGGUGUGCGUGACCAUGUGCUUGAAACGGCAGUAGCGCAGCGAGAAGGAUCGCCAUCACACGGCGCACUGGUGCGGCUUCUCCCCCGAGUGGAUGAACAUGUGCUUGGUGUCGUUUUUCCUUGAGCUGAACGUCUUGCAACAGUGGCCGCACGCAUAGCUGCCCCAGAUCCCGGAAGAAAAUCUCUCCCACACCACUGUAGUCAGAGAGGCCAGUGGGUGCAUGGAACUCCUCGCACGCGCUGUCAGCAGCAGCAGUGAGGAAGCCGGCAGCACAGUCUGGGAAGGAAGGAGGUGCUUGGCUCUCUCCCGGGCCGCCACCUUCGCCGUCCUCGCCAUCGGUCUCAUCGUCAGUUUCCUCGUCAUCGUUGUCACCUCGGUCGUCAGGGGCCGCGGACAGUGAGGGGUAGGCACCAAGCCCCUCGGCUUUGGCAGGUGUCGGGGGCGCAGGCAGCUGCAAACUCGCGGGCCGGCGCUGCUUACCGCUGUGCGCGGCACCGGGGUGCCCCGGGGGUGCGCAGCCAGCAGGUGGCGCAGGCGGUGACGCAGCUGCUCAGGUGCGAGUGGCGGGGGCACAGGGGUGGGCAGGGGCGCGGGUGCAGAGGUGCUCGCGGGUGCAGAGGAGCGCGUGCGAUAAUCUGCGUGCAUUCGUCGAUAACUGUCUAUGCGAAGCACCGACGCAGCCAUGAGUACCUGCGGGGCUUCACUCUGUGCCACAACGAGCGAACCGCUGUACAGGAGCUCGACUAGCUGUCGCACCGUCUGCACAGGCACCACCGAAGGCACACGGAUCUCAGAGGGGCCGAGCAGCAGCUUGUCUUGGAAGGAGGGCGAGCCGAUUGCCAGCCCGCAGCGGUGCGCACGCAGCGAAGCUUCAUGAAUGCACACAGUCACGUCGCAGAAGUGCCCACCCAGCUUCUGCCCAUUGAGGGUCUCAAGCAGAGAGCGUGAGAAGUUCUGCAGAUGUAUGUGGCGCACAGCCUCUACAGCCGCCGACUCCGACUCCUCUUCAGGCACCAGGCCUGGCCGUGGCCGCCUUCUCACCGACUCCAAGGCAGCACUUCCGGGCGCUUCUCUUUAUUUUUAUACAGUUUUAUUGAGAUAUAAUUUACAUGCUAUCCAGCCCAUCUAUUUCAAGUGUACCAUGCAAGGGGUUUGUAUAUAUUCACAGAGUUGUGUAUCCAUCACCAUCGUUUUAGAACAUUCAUCACUCCAGAAGAAACUACGUACCCAUCAGCAGCCACUGCCCAUUUCCCUGAUCUGCCCCGCCCUAGGAAAUCCGUAAUCACUUUCAGUCUAUGGAUUUGCCUAUUCUAGACCAUUCAUAUAAAUGAAGUCACACAACACUGGGUCUUAUGUGACUGGCUUCUAUCAAAGUUUGCAAGGUUCAUUUAUGUUCAUGGUAUGUAUCAGUAGCUUGUUACUUUUUAUGUUUGACUUCUAUUCUGUUACUUACCUACACCGUAUUUUAUCUAUCUCUUCUGCAGUUUAUGGGAUUUAGGUCGUUUCCACGUUUUGGCUGUUCUAAAUAAUGCUGCUCUGAGCGUUCACAUACAAGCUUUUCACAUGAUUUCAUUUCUCCAGAUCUAGGAGUGCAAUUGCUAUAUUAUAUGGCAACCCCGUGUUUCACUUUUUGACAAAGUGCCAGACUGCUUUUCAAAGGACAGCAUCAUUUUAUAUUCCUGCCAGCAAUGUCGAGGGGUCCAGUUUCCACACAUUCUCACAAACACUUAUUGUUAUCUGUCUCUCUAGUUAUUGCCUUCCUGAUGGAUGUGGAGUGCUUUCUCAUUGGUUUUGAUUUGCAUUGUUUAAAUGAGUUAUAAGAUUGAGCAUGUUUUCAUGUUUAUUGGCUGCUUGUAUAUCUUCUUUGGAGAAAUGUCUAUUCAGAUUGUCUCCCCAUUUUAAAAUCGUGUUAUUUUCUUUUUUACUAUUGACUUGUGAAUGUUCAAACAUGUAUAUAUAUAUAUAUAUAUAUAUUUUUUUUUUUUUUUUUUUUUGAGACGGAGUCUUACUCUGUUGCCAGGCUGGAGUGCAGUGGCACGAUCUUGGCUCACUGCAAUCUCUGCGUCACGGGUUUAAGUGAUUCUCCUGCCUCAGCCUCCUGAGUAGCUGGGACUACAGGCAUGCACCACCACACCCGGCUAAUUUUUGUAUUUUUAGUAGAGACGGGGUUUCACCAUGUUGGCCAGGAUGGUCUCAAUCUCCUGACCUCGUAAUCCACCCACGUUGUUCUCCCAAAGUGCUGGGAUUACAAGGUGUGAGCCACCGCGCCCGGCCCAAACAUAUUCUUAUACAAUUCUCUUCUUAGAUAUAGGGUUUGCAAACAUUUUAUCUCACAUUGUAAUUAUUUUUUCAUUUUCUUGAAAGUCUACUUUGAUACAGGAAUAUUUGUGAAUUUUAUAAAGUACAGCUUAUCUAUAUUUUCUAUUAUACUUGUGGUUUUGGUAUGAUAUCCAUAAAAUCAUUGCCUAACCCAAGGUCACAAAGCCUCAGUCCCAUAUUUUCUCCUACGUGUACUAAACUUUUGGCUUUUAUAUUUAGGUCUUUGAUCCAUUUAGGGUUAACUUUUAUAAAUGGUGUGAGGGAGGGGACUAACUUCAGUCUGUACAUGUGAACAUCAAUCUGUCCCAGGACAUUUUUGAAAAGACUAUUCACUCCCCAUUGAAUUGCCUUGUCUCCCUUGUCAAAGUCACAACAAUUACUGUCCUCAUUUUUGUAUCUGGUCACAUGUUCCUAGUUAGUAACUAUAACUACCCUCUUCUACUACGCAUUCUGUAUUCCCUUAGCUUUCAGCAAGCAACUCAGUUGGUCUUGAUUCUUUAUAUGGGGCAAUGACCCAAACUUUCCUUCCUGAAGGAAUUGGGCCAUUGGCAGCUGUGCCCGAAUUGGGUUGUUGUAGUUUUCCAUUAAAUUAAUCACAGGGCAUGGUAGUAGGUAGCACUGAAGACACCCUAGGAGAUCCCAUGUAUUCCAGAAGUAUUAUUUCUUAGUUCUGUGGAGUAGAAGCAAUUAACCCUUGGUAGUCAGGAUCAACCACCUCUGCCAGCACGGUAACUCCCUUCUUUGCCUGUCUAUUCAGAGGCAUGAGGAGCUCAGAGUGGACAGGGACUAUCUUAACUUCCAGUUCAGUAGAAUCAUUUCUUUGUAUCGUGGGGGAUGCAUUCCUCCUUUUGGGACCAAGACUUCUAGACCAGCAGAGCAUAAGAUUGAGGGACAGGAAAUGAAAAUUUUGCUGGUGUGUCACUAGGGGUAAUAGUGAUGAUGAGAACCAAUUGGUGUGGGAGACCAUGAGGUGGAUAAGGCACUCUGUAAGUCCAGACAGUAGUGUGAUUUUUAUGAAGUACAAUUUAUCAGUGGUGAUAGGAACAUUGAGGGUAGGAGGGGAAAUUCUCAUACAUAGUGUCUGUUUCAGUGAGAACAAGACACUGCCUCUUCUAUGAUGGAGGUGGUUCAGAGUCACAGCCAGGUUACCUUGGGAGUGGAAGUCCAUGUUGCAGAGCCCAGGCAUCACCUCCACCCCUGCCACCAUGGCCACUGUAUUCAUGAGCCCAUUGAGCAAUGACAGGGGUGGCUGGGGAAAGAGGCUGAGUGGUGUCCACAGAACAGGUCAUCCUAUCUGCUUGAUUAUUGAAAUCCUUCUCUGCCAAGGCCACCCUUUGGAGAGCAUUUACAUAGCACUCAAUGCACUCUUGCUUUUGGUUUACUCUUUUACUAGGUGAAACCAGUCCUAGUGGCUCAUAACUGGGUUUUCCUAUCAUACUUGUCCUCAGUCCGUAGGUGAAACAACAAAUGUAGGGAUGCUGAAAGUUGCUGAGUAUGUGUCUAUUCCAACCACAGGGUGGGUUCAGGGACACAUUGGAUCCACUGUGAAACAGACAUGAGCUCACACUCCAUCCACCAGCUAACCUCCAUAAGUCCCUACUCUGGUGGACCACAGUGAUGUUUUUGGUCUCUGGGAAUUCCUGUCAAAUCAGAGCCAGUGUCCAGAAUUCCCCAAAUAUCUGAGAAUUUUCUUUUCUCUAAGUCACAGUCAUCCUGGUAGAAGGCUGUAGGUCCCUUUGGGGAAGACUGGGAAAAAGAUUAACUAUGUAAGUUUUUGGCAAUGUAGCAGCGUACUUCCCCAAGAUCACCCAGCCUCCCCUUCACUUAGGGGUUGUGGGCCUGUGAACUGGCUCAAGUCUGGGAAUUGAUUGAGGGUUUAGAUCUGUGUUUCAUUAAUUUGAGUUAGUCUUUUAUUCAGUUGACCUAGAAUUCUUCAUUUUUUAAAAAACAACUAAGACUUUGGUACAGCCCAUUAGCUCUCCCUGUGGAUACCAUGGACUACACAAUGCCAUGGGUUUCUGUGAGUCAAACCAUUCUGACUGCUGCUUUGACACUGCUUUCCACUGUAGUGACCACACCCACCUCAUCUUUGGUGAUUAAGGACAGCCCAUGUUCCCUGCCACCCCAGGAUUCAAUUAUCCUCAUUUUAUUUAAAGAUCCCAGUCCAGUGGCUGCAGUUUCUGCUGUAACAUUUUGCCUACUGAGAGCACGAGCUCAAAGCUCUUCCAGGAUACUGGGCUCCUCUCACAAUAUUCUUUCUCAUGAUCGUUGUGAGAAGUAUGUUCUGUAGACCCUCCAGUGUGAGUGAGCAGGUCUGACAUAAUAAAUCCAGUCUCCCUGAGUUUUUGCAUACCUUCCUAUACACAUAAACCAAGGAAGUUGUGACAUCUCAACUUUAUGUACUUUAGGUAAACUCUGAUUCUGUUUCAGCCAACCAGCCAAGUAACAAAACAAAUAAGCAAACAGCCAACCAAUCAACCAACAAGCAAGCAAGCAACAAACCAACCAAACAAGCAAGCAAGCAAGCAAGCAAGCAACCAACCAACCAAGUAACCGAUCAAACCAACCCUUGGAGCCCUUUCUAAAACUUUGACCUACAACCCUGAAUCCAGAAUCUCUGUUUAGUGGGCCAACAUUAAUAAAUUUAGCCUACUCCAACUUUGUGUUACUUCCACCAUGGUGCCACACACUUAAUAUCCAUUCCCACAUAUAUUCUCCAGAUUUCUUUCUGUAUAAAUUGUGUGUGUGUGUGUGUGUGUGUGUGUGUGUGUAGAAAGAGAGCAUCAACUGAAAAAUCACACAAUUUUAUAAAUUUAGAAAAGAGAGCUUUAUUUCUUAUAAAGGUUUGCAGCCUGCAAGGUGGCCAUUAUGACAGGCUGGGAAGUGUGGCCUACAGCCAAGGCUAGAGGCAGGCCCUUCCAGGGAGGGAAGGAGAGGACAGGAAUUUGAGCUGAAUGAGUUGACUACAUAUACAUACUCAAUAGGAUAUCAGAGGAGCUAUAUCAUUUUAUGAGAAUACUCAUAAAAGAGGUCCUAACACAUGCAUAUUGAAUAAACAUGCAUGUUCAUUCUGGGGUGGAGACUUGACAUUUAAAUGUGUUAUAAUUAGGCCCUACACAUCAAAAAGUGAAGCAGGGAAUGAAGGUACUCAGCCUCUGUAAAGGCACAGCCUCUAAAACUGGCCAGAACCAGUCCAUGGAGGAUGGUCUCUUAUCAGGAGAAAGUUACUGAAAUCAGUCCCUUGUCCAGUGAAAGCUGUCGUUAAGGUCGGUGGGGCAGGAGAUCAGUUACUCAGUGUCUGUGAACUGGGUGAGUUGUAAUUGUUUUAAUCUUGCUUCUCUCAUAGCCAGUGCUUGCUUGGCUGCUAGAGAAAAAUAAAAACUAUGUGGUAGUUAGAAUCUAGUUUAUUCUUUAAGAGUAGGGUACAAGACUUAACCCUUGCCUGGCAUGGCCCUAGGUCCUGUUUAUAAUUUGGGGUCUUAUUGCCACAAAGAGUCUGUUCUGUCAGUCUCAUGAUCUCUAUUUUAACGUUAAUGCUGUUCAGUUGUUGGGUCUAAACCAUAAGAGGGAGAGAGGUACAGGGAGUUAUGUCUGACCUCCUGUCCUGUCAUGGCCAAGAACUGAAUUUUAAGAUUUAUUUGAGGUUCCGUUGGCCAACAGGGGGUCUGUUAAGUCGGGUGGGGGGCUUAGGGUUUCAUUUUUAGUUCUCAAGGGAGAUAAAAUAAUUUAAUCAAUUGGCCCCUGUGACUAUUGGACUAACAUGGCUAUGAUCUGUCAGACAGACUUCAGGCUGGCACCCAGGCAAAAUUCUAUACUGUAGUAAAUGCAUCAUGCACAUUUGUAACAACAUGUACAUAACAAUGUCACAAAAUACUUUCACGGUGACACCUAGAUUAGUGUUUUAUUGAAUAGCUGAUGAUAUAAACUGGCUCAUUUGAUGCCAAGACUGACCAUCACCACCAUACCAAGGUCAUCACUGAUCAGAGGCCUAACCCAAGGAGGGGGUCAUGUGCAGACCCAGCUGUGGGGAGGAAAGAUGCUGCAGAGGAGACGGAUGCCCACAGAGGCCCCUGAGUGGAUACAAUGCUCACUAAGUGGGCUGACCCCACAUUGGACACCGCUGCAUCCAUGUCCAUCACACAACACAGCUGCCGUUUCUUCUGCCUGCUUAUGGGAAAGUCCCCUCUUCUCCUCCGUUUUCUUCUCUUCCUGCCCUAUCACACCGUGCACUUCUCCCUUUCCUUAAAGAACCACCAUCAACUUUAGGAGGAGGGAAAGGGGUGGCUCUGGCAGGAAAAGCCAGAAUCCCCUCUAGCCAGCAGAGAGAGAGAGGAAUGGCUGCAUGUUUUCUCCCCCAGUCCAAGGCACUGGGUCUUGGCUGGGUUGAAGGUUCCAAGCUGCUCUCCUGCUGUGUCGGUGAGUUCUGGUCAACCUGCAACCUCCUGAUAUGGCCAUUGCAGUUCAUCGAGUCUUCAGGGACUCCCCAUGGCCUGGAGUACUUUGCCUUGCUUACACGGGAGAGGAGAAUGGAUUUAUAGAGAACAUCAUCUAAAUCCAACUUGACCAUUGUGUGGCCACACUUGCUAGAUUGCUAUAGUCUAAAUCUAGCAUUGUAGAAAGACGGGGGAGCUUGGAGCUGCACAAACCCAGGUCUGGAACUGGCUCCUUACCUUGGAAGGUGAAUGAUCCUGCCAGGACUCUUAGCCUCCCUGGGUCUCAAUUUCUUUAUCUGUUUCAUGGGAAUGAGGAUCUCUGCUGGGUGGUUGGGUGAUGUGGGGGCUGUGUGAAAACAGCUUGUCAAUACAAGCCAAAAUAGAAAUAUUUCUCCACAGAGUAUGAAGGUCAAAUGAGAGAAUACAUUUAAAUUAAAUGGAAAAUUAAAAUGGUAAAAAAUGCAAAGCUGUAUUGAAAGUUCCGAGCUUCUCUAUAAGGAGCUUUUUGACUAUGGAAGAAUCCUGUACUCGUUCCCCCUAAAUAUAAAAAAAAAGUUGAAGGAGGCAGAAGGGAGAGUGAUGCACGAUGGGCAAGGACUUCACCUGCUGUUGCUGGCUUUGAGGAUGGAGGAAGGAGGCCACAAACCUAGAAGCUGGAGCCCCUAGAAGCUAGAAAAGGCAGGGACCCGAUUCUUUCCUUGAGCCUCCAGAAGGGACACAGCCCCGCCAGCACCUUGACUUUAGCCUGGUGAGAUCCUCUUAGGACUUUUGGCAAUCAGAACUAUAAGACAGAAAUGGAAGCCACUGAGUCUGUAGCUGUUUGUUGCAGCAGCAAUAGAAAACUAAUGCAGGGCCCAAGAAAUCACUGGUGAUGAGAUCGGGAAAGUGGGCUCAGGAGGUCUGGAUCUGUGAUGAGAUGGGGAAAGUGGGCUCAAGAGGUCUGGAUCUGUGGUGAGAUGGGGGAAGUGGGCUCAGGAGGUCUGGAUCUGUGGUGAGAUGGGGGAAGUGGGCUCAGGAGGUCUGGAUCUGUGAUGAGAUGGGGAAAGUGGGCUCAGGAGGUCUGGAUCUGUGAUGAGAUGGGGGAAGUGGGCUCAGGAGGUCUGGAUCUGGGGUGGGGAUCUGGAGUGGAAGGGGAAUUCAUUUGUUCAUUGUCUAUCCUUUUGUAUUGAUUGAAUUUUUUAUAUAUAUAUGUGAAUUUUCACAAUAAAAUUUUUUUCCAAAAUAAAAUAAACAAAAGGGGCUUUUUGCAACCCAAUUCCUAUCUAUGUCUGAGUCCACUUGUAUUGCAUGGGUCUUUCUGCUAACGUCCUUAUAUUUGGGUGACAAUCUGAAUGUCAGCGACCAAUCAGAGCAGAGGCAGACUUUGGAGUGGGCAG
This 8669-nucleotide long non-coding RNA is filed under the name Homo sapiens (human). RNAcentral's name for it is "HSALNT0304919". The record is from RNAcentral. Lineage: Eukaryota; Metazoa; Chordata; Mammalia; Primates; Hominidae.